CCUACGGGUGGCAGCAGUGAGGAAUAUUGGUCAAUGGGCUUACGCCUAAACCAGCCAAGUCGCGUGAGGGAAGACUGCCCUAUGGGUUGUAAACCUCUUUUGUCAGGGAGUAACGCCGGCUACGUGUAGCCGGACUGAGAUUACCUGAAGAAAAAGCAUCGCUUAACUCCUUGCCAGCAGCCGCGGUAAUACGGAGGAUGCGAGCGUUAUCCGGAUUUUUGGGGUUUAAAGGGUGCGUAGGCGGAAUGUCACGUCAGCGGUAAAAUCGCGGGGCUCAACCUCGCUCCGCCGUUGAAACUGGCGUGCUUGAGUGGGCGAGAAGUAGGCGGAAUGCGUGGUGUAGCGGUGAAAUGCAUAGAUAUCAUGCAGAACUCCGAUUGCGAAGGCAGCAUACCGGCGCCCAACUGACGCUGAAGCACGAAAGCGUGGGUAUCGAACAGGAUUAGAUACCCUUGUAGUC
This 460-nucleotide ribosomal RNA is filed under the name uncultured bacterium. RNAcentral's name for it is "partial 16S ribosomal RNA". It matches the Rfam family "Bacterial small subunit ribosomal RNA", at positions 338 to 795 of the family's 1533-position model. The record is from RNAcentral.